This 302-nucleotide long non-coding RNA is filed under the name Daucus carota (carrot). RNAcentral's name for it is "long non-coding RNA (DCAR_LNC001976)". The record is from RNAcentral. Lineage: Eukaryota; Viridiplantae; Streptophyta; Magnoliopsida; Apiales; Apiaceae.
ACCCCAAUGAUUCACAGAGCUCUGUCCAGAAAAUAAUAAGUGAUAUAAUGAUGUCUUCUCAACAUGGUGGUACUGGUAUGGCAGGGGGGGGGUCAUUGGGGAAUGAGAUGAAAAAUGUGAACAGAUUAUUAAAUUCAAGCAAUAACGCNAAAUGAGAUGAAAAAUGUGAACAGAUUAUUAAAUUCAAGCAAUAACGCUAGCCUCGGUGGUGGUAACAGCCUUGCGGAAAAUGGAAUGGUCAAUGGCAAUACAGGUGUUGGGGUUUCUGGGUUUGCAAACAUGGGCAAUGGACUUGGAAGCCG